Long non-coding RNA from Homo sapiens (human), 793 nucleotides. Ensembl annotates it as SATB1 antisense RNA 1. Its record names the gene SATB1-AS1. The record is from Ensembl. Lineage: Eukaryota; Metazoa; Chordata; Mammalia; Primates; Hominidae.
GCUUAGAUGUGGAAGCUCUUUGGAAACCAAGAAACACUCUGAAAAUGAAAAGGUGUACAAAAAGGGAAUUGAAGAGGAAGUCAAAUAAAGAAAAGAAAAUACUACCCGUGCAACUUGCAACAUGUACGGCCUGUGUCACCACACAAUCUGUGAAUAAUAAGAAGUUACUUUAAAUAAUACUUCAGCAGUUAUCUCAAUCAUGUGAUUUGUUUGAACUUCCAAGGCUAAUACUUUCAGCUCAACAGUUAUCUAUAUUAUAACAUACCGUAAUGCCUUAUGGAGAGUUAAAAAUUCUCAUUUCAACUGUCCUCUUCUGCAAAGCUUUAAUAAGUAAUGCAAAAAACUCACCCCCUUUCAUGUAUUGAUGAAUAUAGGUAGAUAAAAAUUUUAGAGGGAAAAAUAGGGGCUGGGUCACCAAUAUGAGAACAUAGAUAAGUAGGCACAUUUGCCUGGUGGGUGGUCAGCUCAUUUGCAGGGGCAUCUGUAGACAGAAACUUGGAGAUUAUGUGCAGUCUAUAGGCUGAUCUAAUGACUGCCAUGAAUGAUAGUUUCACAUAGAUGUACCAACUGAAAAAUGACAUACAGAUGGUCCCCGAUUUAUGAUGGCUCAACUUAAGAUUUUUUGACUUUACAAUGGUGUGAAAACAAUAUACAUUCAGUAGAAACUGUACUUAGAGUACCCAUAAAAUCAUUCCGUUUUUCACUUUCAUUACAGUAUUCAAUAAACUCCAUGAUAUAUUCAACAUUUUGUUAUAAAAUAAGCCUUAUAUUAGAGGAUUUUGAUCAACCGUAG